AGGGAUCAUUACUGAGUGAGGGCUCACGCCCGACCUCCAACCCUUUGUGAACCAAACCUGUUGCUUCGGGGGCGACCCUGCCGACGAACUCGUCGCCGGGCGCCCCCGGAGGUCUUCUAAACACUGCAUCUUUGCGUCGGAGUUUAAAACAAAUUAAACAAAACUUUCAACAACGGAUCUCUUGGUUCUGGCAUCGAUGAAGAACGCAGCGAAAUGCGAUAAGUAAUGUGAAUUGCAGAAUUCAGUGAAUCAUCGAAUCUUUGAACGCACAUUGCGCCCUUUGGUAUUCCGAAGGGCAUGCCUGUUCGAGCGUCAUUUCACCACUCAAGCCUGGCUUGGUAUUGGGCGUCGCGGUUCUUCGCGCGCCUUAAAGUCUUCCGGCUGAGCUGUCCGUCUCUAAGCGUUGUGGAUUUUUCAAUUCGCUUCGGAGUGCGGGUGGCCGCGGCCGUUAAAUCUUUAUUCAAAGGUUGACCUCGGAUCAGGUAGG
RNAcentral lists this ribosomal RNA (487 nucleotides) under Pseudocercospora paederiae. Its description in RNAcentral is "eukaryotic LSU rRNA". The stretch from base 162 to 315 matches the Rfam family "5.8S ribosomal RNA". Lineage: Eukaryota; Fungi; Ascomycota; Dothideomycetes; Mycosphaerellales; Mycosphaerellaceae. The record is from RNAcentral.